ACAGAAUCAAUCCGUACAUUGCCACCCUGUGGAUCUUUCGGCGGAUGUGGAUCAAACGGCAUGAGAAAAUGCAAAAAAAAAAAAUAAAAAACGGCAAGUGAACCAGAAAUUGUACUGUGCCUGUAUCACCGGUGUUGGAUUCUGGAAACGCUCCGACGGACCCAAGAAACUAUAAGUCGAUUUCUUCUCACGGCAUUUACUGUCAUUUUCGGAUAAUCAACGAUAGGUUGCAAAACAAACUGUUCCCAAAGUUCAGCUGAACUUAUAAACCGAUACCGAUACGAUUCAGAACAGCAUUUCCAGCUACUCAUCGUGCCACUACCGAAGGAAGCUGCUUCGGUGCUUGAUUUCCAACAUUCAAUCGGCGGCUUCAUAUUCAUUCAUUCAACACUUCGCGUAUACUGCAUUCCCAUACAAACAUCUAAACUUCAUACUGCAAGCUUGACGGAAGAGUCUUUUAAUUCUGGUCAUCUCAUCGGAACUUUUUUAAAAGAUCCUCGAUUCCCCCUGGGCCCCCUCUAGGUUAGGCAACAUGUUGAUGUGGUCCG
Long non-coding RNA from Uranotaenia lowii, 548 nucleotides. RefSeq lists it as uncharacterized. The transcript has 5 exons. NCBI's taxonomy places the organism in Eukaryota, Metazoa, Arthropoda, Insecta, Diptera, Culicidae. The record is from RefSeq and is a predicted model, not a curated record.